RNAcentral lists this ribosomal RNA (1528 nucleotides) under Klebsiella pneumoniae. RNAcentral describes it as "bacterial SSU rRNA". It matches the Rfam family "Bacterial small subunit ribosomal RNA". The record is from RNAcentral. Lineage: Bacteria; Pseudomonadati; Pseudomonadota; Gammaproteobacteria; Enterobacterales; Enterobacteriaceae.
AGAGUUUGAUCAUGGCUCAGAUUGAACGCUGGCGGCAGGCCUAACACAUGCAAGUCGAGCGGUAGCACAGAGAGCUUGCUCUCGGGUGACGAGCGGCGGACGGGUGAGUAAUGUCUGGGAAACUGCCUGAUGGAGGGGGAUAACUACUGGAAACGGUAGCUAAUACCGCAUAAUGUCGCAAGACCAAAGUGGGGGACCUUCGGGCCUCAUGCCAUCAGAUGUGCCCAGAUGGGAUUAGCUAGUAGGUGAGGUAACGGCUCACCUAGGCGACGAUCCCUAGCUGGUCUGAGAGGAUGACCAGCCACACUGGAACUGAGACACGGUCCAGACUCCUACGGGAGGCAGCAGUGGGGAAUAUUGCACAAUGGGCGCAAGCCUGAUGCAGCCAUGCCGCGUGUGUGAAGAAGGCCUUCGGGUUGUAAAGCACUUUCAGCGGGGAGGAAGGCGAUAAGGUUAAUAACCUCAUCGAUUGACGUUACCCGCAGAAGAAGCACCGGCUAACUCCGUGCCAGCAGCCGCGGUAAUACGGAGGGUGCAAGCGUUAAUCGGAAUUACUGGGCGUAAAGCGCACGCAGGCGGUCUGUCAAGUCGGAUGUGAAAUCCCCGGGCUCAACCUGGGAACUGCAUUCGAAACUGGCAGGCUAGAGUCUUGUAGAGGGGGGUAGAAUUCCAGGUGUAGCGGUGAAAUGCGUAGAGAUCUGGAGGAAUACCGGUGGCGAAGGCGGCCCCCUGGACAAAGACUGACGCUCAGGUGCGAAAGCGUGGGGAGCAAACAGGAUUAGAUACCCUGGUAGUCCACGCCGUAAACGAUGUCGAUUUGGAGGUUGUGCCCUUGAGGCGUGGCUUCCGGAGCUAACGCGUUAAAUCGACCGCCUGGGGAGUACGGCCGCAAGGUUAAAACUCAAAUGAAUUGACGGGGGCCCGCACAAGCGGUGGAGCAUGUGGUUUAAUUCGAUGCAACGCGAAGAACCUUACCUGGUCUUGACAUCCACAGAACUUUCCAGAGAUGGAUUGGUGCCUUCGGGAACUGUGAGACAGGUGCUGCAUGGCUGUCGUCAGCUCGUGUUGUGAAAUGUUGGGUUAAGUCCCGCAACGAGCGCAACCCUUAUCCUUUGUUGCCAGCGGUCCGGCCGGGAACUCAAAGGAGACUGCCAGUGAUAAACUGGAGGAAGGUGGGGAUGACGUCAAGUCAUCAUGGCCCUUACGACCAGGGCUACACACGUGCUACAAUGGCAUAUACAAAGAGAAGCGACCUCGCGAGAGCAAGCGGACCUCAUAAAGUAUGUCGUAGUCCGGAUUGGAGUCUGCAACUCGACUCCAUGAAGUCGGAAUCGCUAGUAAUCGUAGAUCAGAAUGCUACGGUGAAUACGUUCCCGGGCCUUGUACACACCGCCCGUCACACCAUGGGAGUGGGUUGCAAAAGAAGUAGGUAGCUUAACCUUCGGGAGGGCGCUUACCACUUUGUGAUUCAUGACUGGGGUGAAGUCGUAACAAGGUAACCGUAGGGGAACCUGCGGUUGGAUCACCU